RNAcentral lists this ribosomal RNA (255 nucleotides) under uncultured bacterium. Its description in RNAcentral is "partial 16S ribosomal RNA". It matches the Rfam family "Bacterial small subunit ribosomal RNA", at positions 524 to 777 of the family's 1533-position model. The record is from RNAcentral.
UACGGGGGGGGCAAGCGUUGUUCGGAAUUACUGGGCGUAAAGGGCUCGUAGGCGGCCAACUAAGUCAGACGUGAAAUCCCCAGGCUCAACCUGGGAACUGCGUCUGAUACUGGAUGGCUUGAAUCCGGGAGAGGGAUGCAGAAUUCCAGGUGUAGCGGUGAAAUGCGUAGAUAUCUGGAGGAAUACCGGUGGCGAAGGCGGCAUCCUGGACCGGCAUUGACGCUGAGGAGCGAAAAGCUAGGGGAGCAAACGGGG